UUUCAACACCCGGCUGGCUUGCACGUUAUCUGGAAGUUUUAUUAAGCCGCCAGUUCCCGCCCCUACCCUUUCAGGUGCCUUGAUCGCCGCGCACCGGAUGGAAGCAAAUAGCCGACCUCUGGUCUCCAGAUAAGCAUUCUUCCCUUCCUUUCGGUAAUGAACAUCUUUUGAAACCUAGCAUAAACUGAAAACCCACGACCUAGUCAAUAAAAAAAUGUCGAAAUCAGCGGUAGCUUCAUCAAGAAUUUUACUUUGUUGCUUCUCAAGUGGUCAUGUAUGGAUGUGAGAGUUGGACUGUGAAGAAAGCUGAGCACCGGAAAAUUGAUGCUUUUGAACUGUAGUGUUGGAGAAGACUCUUGAGAGUCCCUUGGACUGCAAGGAGAUUCAACCAGUCCAUCCUAAAGGAGAUCAGUCCUGGGUGUUCAUUGGAAGGACUGAUGCUGAAGUGGAAACUCCAGCACUUUGGCCACCUGAUGCGAAGAGUUGACUCAUUGGAAAAGACCCUGAUGCUGGGAGGGAUUGGGGGCAGGAGGAGGAGGGGACGACACAGGAUGAGAUGGCUGGAUGGCAUCACCGACUCCAUGGGCAUGAGUUUGAGUCAACUCCGGGAGUUGGUGAUGGACAGGGAGACCUGGCGUGCUGCAAUUCAUGGGGUCGCACAGAGUCGGACACGCCUGAGCGACUGAACUGAACUGAACUGAAGGAUAUGAAAAUGUGUAAGAUACUGCUUUGACCCCAGCAGACUUUGUGUAUCAACUUUUUAAAAUCCUUACAACUCUGGAGAAUAAGAACUCUGAUUAUCCCAGUUGUCCAGGAGGGGGAAAUUGAGUCAUAUAGAUAUUAUGUAACUUACUUGUAUUAGUCAGUGUUCUGCAGAGAAACAAAACCAAUUGGAGUUACACACACACACACACACACAUAUAUAUAUAUAUAUAUAUAUAUAUGUAUAUGAAAGAAAUGUUUUAUAAAGAAUGAGCUUAUAUAAUUAUGGAGGCUGAAAAGUCUCCAGAUCGGCAGUUUGAAGGCCCAAGAAGCAAUGUUGUGUUCCAGUCCAAGUGCAAAGGCCUGAUUCAACUUUAUAUUCUUUCCAUCGUUAUUCUAAUCCCCUAAUAUCCAUUUCCAUACUUGUUCCCAAGAUUUCUGUCUGUAACAGUUAUAAGACUCAAGGAGUUCAUUUGAAGUGUUGUGCACACCCUCAUAAAUUAGGUAAUUUCCAGUUCAUGAUGGGCAGCUCAAGUCUCAUGGUAAUUUGGUGGCCCAUCGGUAAGCAUUCAGUCUCUAUUGAAGUCCAGUAGUAGGCCAAGAGCUAUUUCCCAAAAGGAGAGUAGUAAUCUAUAGAAAAUGUCAGGGCUUUGCUCUGAAGUCCUAAGGGUUUGCCUGUGGUUCAGUCGGAGACUAGCUGCAUCCCCCGCUAUGACUGACAUGUGGAGCAUCUUUGGAUCUGCCAGGUCCUAUGGCCCGUGUGCUGGAGCAGCUUGCACAGCUGUCUGGACUUGUUGCGGAGCUUUCCCUUAUGCUGGGUCUCAUUCAAAAUUCACGGCUUUUUGAGUCACUUGAUGUGAAGACUGAAAUUCCUGCAGCUUUCCUGGACCAUGGAGUACCAUUCUCAAGAGAGAACAUGUUAGAAACAACAAGCCAAUCAGCUGAAGGGAAGCCUGGGACUGGGACUGGGCCGGACACAGAAUUCCUUGUACUGAAGUUAACUCUCCGUGCUGCUAGAUAGUUUUGUUAAAGACUGAGGAAUCCAGACUCUGGGAGAUGUAUUUUAAUGAUUCUAAUUACCUUAGCUGAAUAAAUUAAAAACAAUUGUAUUUUUAUAAACAUCUCCAACAUUUUAGCUAUUCAUAAAGACUAUCAUUCUAAUAUAGCAAAUUAAUUUCUCUAGUGACCUAAGGUGUAUUUCAUAACUAGUUACUCUUAUAGCAGAGUUUUCAAGCCAUGUUUCAUGAAGAUCUUAGGCCUGGCCUUAAGAGAGGGUGAAGACCAACCCCUCCACCUCCUCUUUAGCUGAAAUGAUUUUACUUUACCUGUACUGGAAAUCAAGAUAAGAUUCA
Long non-coding RNA from Dama dama (fallow deer), 2054 nucleotides. RefSeq lists it as uncharacterized. The transcript is spliced from 3 exons. NCBI's taxonomy places the organism in Eukaryota, Metazoa, Chordata, Mammalia, Artiodactyla, Cervidae. The record is from RefSeq and is a predicted model, not a curated record.